UGGGAUGUCGCCAAGUGGUAAGGCAGCGGGUUUUGGUCCCGCCAUUUCGGGGGUUCGAAUCCUCCCAUCCCAG
This 73-nucleotide transfer RNA is filed under the name Candidatus Delongbacteria bacterium. Its description in RNAcentral is "tRNA-Gln". It matches the Rfam family "tRNA". From Rfam's summary of the family: Transfer RNA (tRNA) molecules are approximately 80 nucleotides in length. Their secondary structure includes four short double-helical elements and three loops (D, anti-codon, and T loops). The record is from RNAcentral. Lineage: Bacteria; Candidatus Delongiibacteriota.